CAGGCUUAACACAUGCAAGUCGAGGGGCAUCAGGAAGAAAGCUUGCUUUCUUUGCUGGCGACCGGCGCACGGGUGAGUAACACGUAUCCAACCUGCCCUUUACUCGGGGAUAGCCUUUCGAAAGAAAGAUUAAUACCCGAUAGCAUAAUGAUUCCGCAUGGUUUCAUUAUUAAAGGAUUCCGGUAAAGGAUGGGGAUGCGUUCCAUUAGGUUGUUGGUGGGGUAACGGCCCACCAAGCCUUCGAUGGAUAGGGGUUCUGAGAGGAAGGUCCCCCACAUUGGAACUGAGACACGGUCCAAACUCCUACGGGAGGCAGCAGUGAGGAAUAUUGGUCAAUGGGCGCUAGCCUGAACCAGCCAAGUAGCGUGAAGGAUGAAGGCUCUAUGGGUCGUAAACUUCUUUUAUAUAAGAAUAAAGUGCAGUAUGUAUACUGUUUUGUAUGUAUUAUAUGAAUAAGGAUCGGCUAACUCCGUGCCAGCAGCCGCGGUAAUACGGAGGAUCCGAGCGUUAUCCGGAUUUAUUGGGUUUAAAGGGAGCGUAGGUGGACUGGUAAGUCAGUUGUGAAAGUUUGCGGCUCAACCGUAAAAUUGCAGUUGAUACUGUCAGUCUUGAGUACAGUAGAGGUGGGCGGAAUUCGUGGUGUAGCGGUGAAAUGCUUAGAUAUCACGAAGAACUCCGAUUGCGAAGGCAGCUCACUGGACUGCAACUGACACUGAUGCUCGAAAGUGUGGGUAUCAAACAGGAUUAGAUACCCUGGUAGUCCACACAGUAAACGAUGAAUACUCGCUGUUUGCGAUAUACAGUAAGCGGCCAAGCGAAAGCAUUAAGUAUUCCACCUGGGGAGUACGCCGGCAACGGUGAAACUCAAAGGAAUUGACGGGGGCCCGCACAAGCGGAGGAACAUGUGGUUUAAUUCGAUGAUACGCGAGGAACCUUACCCGGGCUUAAAUUGCAGUGGAAUGAUGUGGAAACAUGUCAGUGAGCAAUCACCGCUGUGAAGGUGCUGCAUGGUUGUCGUCAGCUCGUGCCGUGAGGUGUCGGCUUAAGUGCCAUAACGAGCGCAACCCUUAUCUUUAGUUACUAACAGGUCAUGCUGAGGACUCUAGAGAGACUGCCGUCGUAAGAUGUGAGGAAGGUGGGGAUGACGUCAAAUCAGCACGGCCCUUACGUCCGGGGCUACACACGUGUUACAAUGGGGGGUACAGAAGGCAGCUAGCGGGUGACCGUAUGCUAAUCCCAAAAGCCUCUCUCAGUUCGGAUCGAAGUCUGCAACCCGACUUCGUGAAGCUGGAUUCGCUAGUAAUCGCGCAUCAGCCACGGCGCGGUGAAUACGUUCCCGGGCCUUGUACACACCGCCCGUCAAGCCAUGGGAGCCGGGGGUACCUGAAGUACGUAACCGCAAGGAGCGUCCUAGGGUAAAACUGGUGACUGGGGC
Molecule: ribosomal RNA, 1435 nt
Filed under: uncultured organism
Description: 16S ribosomal RNA
Rfam family: Bacterial small subunit ribosomal RNA
Source: RNAcentral